RNAcentral lists this ribosomal RNA (433 nucleotides) under uncultured bacterium. RNAcentral describes it as "partial 16S ribosomal RNA". It matches the Rfam family "Bacterial small subunit ribosomal RNA", at positions 29 to 507 of the family's 1533-position model. The record is from RNAcentral.
AACGAACGCUGGCGGCAUGCCUAACACAUGCAAGUCGAACGAAACCUUCGGGUCUUUUGGCGCACGGGUGCGUAACGCGUGGGAACCUUCCCUUGGGUUCGGAAUAACUCCCCGAAAGGGGUGCUAAUACCGGAUAAUGUCUUCGGACCAAAGAUUUAUCGCCUUUGGAUGGGCCCGCGUUGGAUUCGCUAGUUGGUAGGGUAAUAGCAUACCAAGGCGAGGAUGCAUAGAUGGUAUGAGAGGAUGAUCAGCAACACUGGGACUGAGACACGGCCGAGACUCCUACGGAAGGGAGGAGUGGGGAAUAGUGGACAAUGGGGGAAAGCCUGAUCCAGCAAUGCCGGGAGAGUGAUGAAGGCAGUAGGGAUGUAAAGCUCUUUUACCCGGGAAGAUAAUGACAGUACCGGGAGAAUAAGCCCCGGCUAACUACGUG